UGAAGUGUAGCUUUUUCUCUGAAAUUAAGGAGAUGGAAGAUUAAAAAGGUGGAAGAUACCGAAGAUGAUUUUUCUUUCUUUUUUUCACCAAGACCCCACGCACGUGAUUGAGUUCACAAAAGGUUCUUCAUUUUCACUUUCGCAAUAGAACACGAAGGCUGAGCACAACGUGAGAACGUGUUCAUCUUGAUUUUUUGUGUCUUGUCGUUUUCUUGCAACUUUUUUAUAUACUGAUCGAAGCCUCUUCCUCUCUUUUUUUGAACUUAUUGUAAAAUCUAUUUUAGCAUGAUCU
This is a long non-coding RNA of Arabidopsis thaliana (thale cress), 292 nucleotides long. RefSeq annotates it as other RNA. Lineage: Eukaryota; Viridiplantae; Streptophyta; Magnoliopsida; Brassicales; Brassicaceae. The transcript has 2 exons. The record is from RefSeq.